UACAGAGGGUGCAAGCGUUGUUCGGAAUUAUUGGGCGUAAAGGGCGCGUAGGCGGUGCCACAAGUCACCUGUGAAAUCUCCGGGCUUAACUCGGAGCCUGCAGGCGAAACUGUGGUGCUGGAGUGUGGGAGAGGUGCGUGGAAUUCCCGGUGUAGCGGUGAAAUGCGUAGAUAUCGGGAAGAACACCCGUGGCGAAGGCGGCUCUCUGGGACGGUACUGACGCUGAGACGCGAAAGCGUGGGGAGCGAACAGG
Molecule: ribosomal RNA, 253 nt
Filed under: uncultured bacterium
Lineage: Bacteria
Description: partial 16S ribosomal RNA
Rfam family: Bacterial small subunit ribosomal RNA
Source: RNAcentral